Monodelphis domestica (gray short-tailed opossum) is the source of this 3739-nucleotide non-coding RNA. NCBI's taxonomy places the organism in Eukaryota, Metazoa, Chordata, Mammalia, Didelphimorphia, Didelphidae. The record is from RefSeq and is a predicted model, not a curated record.
UACAACUUAGACUUUUUUUCUUCUUCCAACAGUGACUUUCUACCAACUCUUCUGAUUUGAUAAAUAUGAAAUAAUUCUGAGAUGGAGUUACAACAAAUGGAGUUACAACUCCAGUCCAGAUCUUUAAACUCAAAGUUCAAUGAUCUUUCUGCUGCACCAUUCUGGCAAUGAUGAUAAAUAUAUGAUGCCAGGGUAAAGCAUUUUCAGAAGGAAAAAUCUGAAUCAGAACCCUCCCUAAGAAAGCUGUUCUUUUUACAAUCAGAGGAAAGGCUUCAAGGAAUGUCUUAUCAACUGGUCACACUUUUUGCAGUUUGCUGUUCAAAUGAGGGUGGGGUUAAGUCAUAAAAGAAAUACUAGCUGGAAAUCCUGGCAGCUGAGCCAGGAAACUAUGCCUGAACAGUGGGAACAGACAAACACAAACCAAGUCAUCCCGUUCAGCAGUCCCUUUGGCAGAGACAGGAUUGCAAAAUGGAACAGGCAUAAUCCAUGAAGCCAAAUCUCCUGUGCUUGAUAUCACAUAAAGGUAACAACAUGUAGAAAGAAGAUCCUAUAAUUCUGUGGUUCACCUUAUGCUGCUUCCGAGAUGGAAAAUAACUUUGAUGGCUUAAUGGAGGAUUGACUGGAGUGGGAAGAGAGACGAGUCAGGCAGAUCCACCAGCAGUCUAUUUCAACAACAAAGGUGGCCGGUCUCAGUUUUCAGGAAGAUCUUCUGGAAUUUUUAGACAAAGAGAGAUCAACAGUGAGCUGUGGGGUCUUGGAAGCAGAAGAACCACUGGCCAUUAGGAGAAGACACACAGUGAGGAAGGAGAAAAGAAUUAGCAUUCUUUUUACAUAGCACCAUGGACUGGAGAGUAAGAUGAGGUUUUUUGAGAUCACACUGAUCCUAGGCAAUAAUUGACUUGAGAAAUCAUGGAAAUCAUGGUAAUGGGGGUGAUCCUGACUUUAUUUGCUAUAAUACUGGUGACUUUCUGUAUCCUCUGCUGGUCCAGCUACAACAAAGCACCAUGGAAUCAGCAUGAAGACAUUACCCCAACGUUUACUUUGUCCACUUUCCAUAGGGAAGAUCUUUUAUUGUAAGACCUACUGGUCAGCAUUCCAAUUCCCAUUCCUCCACCAACCAAAGGAAUUUAUUUUCCUUUACGUGAAGUCUUAUCUAGGGUUAUUCAAAACUCAUCUAUAUCCUUUCUGAUUUUCAUGGAGCAGCCAACUGUCAUAAAGGAGGAGUCCCAGGAACUGAAAAUAUAGUCCCUACUUUGGAGGGAGAAUGUUAGACAUAGAAUUAUUAGACGGACAGUAGGUAGCUUGUGGAAAGUUCUCAGAAUAAUGUUGUUUAAAUGGAUAAAAUAAAAUAUAUAGCAUUGUUACUGUUCUUCAUCCUUCGUUUUUCAAAGAGGACCAGUGACAUGAGGAUGGUGGCUUGACUUGUGUGUGAACUGAUGUAAGUGAGGCAGAGUUGCUUAAGGUCUUUAGCCUCACUUCCUCAAUAGUCGUCAAAGUCCAGCGGCAAGACAAAACUUGAAAUGGCCUGGAAUGCCAUGGAUAACUUGGCAUUUUUAAUGUUUGACCAAGCUCAAAGGACUCCAUAGAAACUCUUUAAGAAGCCCUAAUGAUUACUGGAACAAAUUGUUUUUAUCUGCCCAUUCUGCUGGAAAAGUUUUCAUGUGCUUGGGGUAGGCAUUCUCCUAUAUCACUGCCACAAGAAACCAAUUACAUUGAAAUGAUAUAAUAUAUUGAAUAUAAAGGGCAAAUUUUCCCAUCUAGCUUCACAGGUCAACUGAAAUUUAUUCACAGAACUCUUGGAGGUCUACUGAGCUCAGGUUAAAAAACUCUGAUACAGAUUAUCUCUAACCUUUUAACUGUGUUGUGAAGAGUCUGACUGAAAAGUCAAGGAGGAUUAGUUUGUGUCACCUCCUACAUAAGACAUUUCUUAAUCCUCCCCAUUAUUAGUGCUAUUCUUCCCUUCUCCCAAUAUUUUGCUUUUAUUUUUUCAUUUUCUUACUUAUGUUCCUCCCUAUUGUUUUCUUUUAUUAGCAUUUAAGUCCCUUGAGGCCAAGGACUAUCUAGCAUUUGUAUUUCUAUACUUAGUACCUUCAAUGCCAGGCUAGUUGAAUAUGCUGGUAGAAUGUACGUUUAUUAAGGGUCAGGAUUAUUUUCCUUUUUGUUUUUGUGUAUAUAUAUAUAUAUAUAUAUAUAUAUAUAUAUGUAUAUAUUAUCAACAUUAAAGUUGCCUAAGAUAUCCAUAGAUCCAACAAGGAAAAGAUUAGAUAACUUAGAUGCUCUGCUUAUCAGAGUAGAGUGGGGAGCUCCAUAUCUGUAUUCAUAAGAAAGCUGGGAGAGGCCACAAGGGAAUGUUCCUUUCAGAAAAAGGAAUUACUUCUUGGCCUGGGAUAUUGCUAGGGUCUUGGAGUGUCCAGAGGAAGCCCUAUGUCCCAUGCCAUCUCUCCCCUCUCCAAAUUUUCUAGGGAGAAUGGUGAUGGUCUGUCUUCUGUACCUUCUUCAGAGCUGAUAAGAGACAUAGAGGUGUCCUUGCCUUUCUGAGGAGAGAGGGAGGGCUCUUUAAAAUGUCCUCAGUGAAUGCUUCUUAGCAGCUGGAGACCUGAAGGCUUGGGGAUCUGGAGGACAUGUCCAGGCAACUGGCUCCCCUAACUGGCAAACAGAGCACCAGUGGGGGUCGGGGUCAGUCCCUAAAACUGAAGUGCAGAAGCCAGGGCUGGAGCCGAAACUGAUGCUAAAUCAGCUUCAUGAAGAUGAGUUGCAGAAUUGUCUGUCAUCCUCAAGUAAACAUACUUCUAAAAUAUUCUUUCCCUUCUCUCCUCCCUUGCCACUUUCCUUCUUCUGUCUUCCUCAAAUCACAUCUUUUCCCCCCAUUCUCUCCACUUUGGCACUAGAAACAUCAUUGGCCUUUGGCCUGGGUGCUGGCCUCUCACAUUGCUUCCUAGGCUUCCACCUCUGCUAGACCCCAGUUCCAUCCCAGCCACUCCUGCUGCCACUCUUUAUAUCUAAAUCAUAUACCCAUUUUGACCUUAUCUUCAUAUAGGGUGUGAGAUAUUGGUCUAUACCUAGUUUCUGCCAUAUUGUUUUACAAUUUUCCCAUCUGUUUUUUUUUUUAAACAGUGAAUUCUUAUUCCAAAAGCUGGGGUUUGGGGGUUUAUCAAACACUAGGUUGCUAUGGUCAUUCUCUCCCUGUAUAUGGUAUAUCUAAUCUAUUCCAUCUAUCAUUCUAUUUCUUCACAAGUUCCAGACUGUUUUGAUGAUGACUGCUUAUUAGUACAGUUUGAAAUCUUGUACUACUAGGCCACCUUCCUUCAUAUCCCACCCCCCCCCCUUAUUUCCCUUGAUAUUCUUGGUGUUUUGUUCUUUCAGAUGAAUUUUAUUAUUUUUCUAGUUCUAUAAAAUAAUUAUUUGGUCGUUUGAUUGGUAUUGCCUGAAUUAAUAAAUUAAUUUAGAUUAAAUUGUCAUUUUUAUUAUAUUAGCUCAGGCUAUCCAUGAGCAAUGAAUAAUUUUCCAAUUGUUUAGAUUUGACUUUAUUUGUGUGAAAAGUGUUUUGUAAUUGUGUUUAUAUAAUUCCUGGGUUUGUCUUGGAAAGUAUAUUACUAGGCAUUUUAUAUUGUUUAGAGUUAUUUUAAGUGGAGUUUCUCUAUCUCUUGAUGCUAAGCUUUGUGUUUAUAUAGAAAUGCUGAUGACUUAUUUGAAUUUAUCUUGUAUCCUGCAACUUUUAUUAAAGUUAUUAUUUCACCUA